This 1200-nucleotide ribosomal RNA is filed under the name Acidiella circumvaga. RNAcentral's name for it is "partial 16S ribosomal RNA". The record is from RNAcentral. Lineage: Eukaryota; Metazoa; Arthropoda; Insecta; Diptera; Tephritidae.
UUGAUUUUAUAAAAUUUAUUUAUUAAAAUUUUUUUUUAUUAAUAUAAUUUAUUAAAAAUAAUUAUAUAAUUUAGUGUUUAAGUAAUUUUUAAUGAAAAAAUAAUUUUUAUUAUAGUUAAAUAUGUAUUGUGAAAGAAUAUUGAAAUAAUUUGAAAAAUUUUUAUUUAAAAAGAAAAUUUUUUUUAUUGUACCUUGUGUAUCAGGGUUUAUUAAAUAAUUAAUAUUUAUUUAUUAAUCUCGAUUUUAUAAGAGUUAAUAAUUUAUAGAAUUUAAUGUAUUAAAAUUAUUUUAAAUAAAUUAUUGGAAAUGAAAUGUUAUUCGUUUAUAAAGAUAUCUAGUAUUUUUAGAAAUAAAUUUAAUUUACAAUUUUUUAAUUUUUUAUUUAUUUAUUAAAAUAAAAAAUUUAUUAAUUUGAAUACUUUAAGGGAUAAGCUUUAAAGUAGAUUAUUAAAAAUUAAUUUAUAUUUUAUAAAAUGUAUGCAUGGAAUUAGCAAUCAUUUAUAAAUUUGUUAUAAGAUAUUUUAUAUUUUAUAUUAUUUAUUAAUAUUUUAAGUUUUUAUAAAAAUAUUUUUUUUAAUAUUAAUAUGAAAAGUAAUAAUGAUAAAAUUAGUAUAUUUUGUUGUAUAUAUAUUAUUUAUUAUGAUAGGUUUAUAUAAAGAAUUCGGCAAAUUUUUAUACUCGCCUGUUUAACAAAAACAUGUCUUUUUGAGUUAUUUUUAAAGUCUGACCUGCCCACUGAAUUUAUUUAAAUGGCCGCAGUAUUUUAACUGUGCAAAGGUAGCAUAAUCAUUAGUCUUUUAAUUGAAGGCUGGAAUGAAUGGUUGGACGAAGUAUAANCUGUUUCAUAUAAAUUUAUAAUAGAAUUUUAUAUUUUAGUUAAAAAGCUAAAAUAUAAUUAAAAGACGAGAAGACCCUAUAAAUCUUUAUAUUUUAUGAUAAUUAGAUUUUAUUGAUAAAUUAUAUUUUUAUAUUAUAGAAUAUUUUGUUGGGGUGAUAUUAAAAUUUAAUUAACUUUUAAUUUUGUUUAAUCAUUAAUUUAUGNAUAAUUGAUCCAUUAAUAGUGAUUAUAAGAUUAAGUUACUUUAGGGAUAACAGCGUAAUUUUUUUGGAGAGUUCAUAUCGAUAAAAAAGUUUGCGACCUCGAUGUUGGAUUAAGAGAUAUUUUUAGGUGUAGCUGCUUAAAUAUAAAGUCUGUUCGAC